Molecule: non-coding RNA, 121 nt
Organism: Picea glauca (white spruce)
Lineage: Eukaryota; Viridiplantae; Streptophyta; Pinopsida; Pinales; Pinaceae
Source: Rfam
ACAUGCCUACAACAUAGCAUUAAUGCACCAGAUCCCAUUAGAACUCCACAGUUAAGUGUGCUCAUGCUAGAGUAGUACUGGGAUGGGUGAUCACCCGAGAAGUCCUUUUGUUUUACAUGCC